Molecule: ribosomal RNA, 403 nt
Filed under: uncultured bacterium
Lineage: Bacteria
Description: partial 16S ribosomal RNA
Rfam family: Bacterial small subunit ribosomal RNA
Source: RNAcentral
GACGAACGCUGGCGGCGUGCCUAAUACAUGCAAGUCGAACGCAGUGGGGACGGGUGAGUAAACCGUGGGUAACCUCCCAUCAGAGGGGAUAACACGUGGAAACAGGUGCUAUAUCGACACUGAUGGAUGGACCUGGGGUGCAUUAGCUAGUUGGUGGGGUAACGGCUCACGAAGGCCACGAUGCAUAGCGGGCCGGAGAGGGUGGACGGCCACACUGGAACUUGGACACGGCCCAGGCUCCAGCGGGAGGCAGCAGUAGGGAAUCGUGGGCAAUGGACGAAAGUCUGACCGAGCAACGCCGCGUGAGUGAAGAAGGUUUUCGGAUCGUGAGUCGCUGUUGUUAGAGAAGCGGUAUCUAACCAGGAAGCCACGGCUAACUACGUGCCAGCCGCCGCGGUAAUUC